RNAcentral lists this long non-coding RNA (951 nucleotides) under Mytilus galloprovincialis (Mediterranean mussel). Lineage: Eukaryota; Metazoa; Mollusca; Bivalvia; Mytilida; Mytilidae. The record is from RNAcentral.
UGUUCUUGUGGACAUAACUUAAAUAAGUGUGUGUGUUUUUCUCAUAAUAAAGCGUGGGAUCUUAAUAUAUUAUUCAAGUUUACGAAAAGGAUGUCAGCUGCACAAUGGUAAGUAUAGAUUUGAAAUUUAUUCUUAUAUUCUUUCGUUAAAAUCCAUUGAAUCGUUAUUGAUAACAAAACAUAACAGUUAAGGUUUAUGUACCCUUCUGUAGCCAUUUUUGUACGAAUUUUUCAAACCUCAUUGUAUCAAACUAAAGAUUAAUAAAUAAUAGAGAUAGGCCAUAGUACAUUUCCAAGGAAACUUGGAGCAUUAUUUUUUACUGUUUCAUGGCAGUAGAAAAAGAGGACUUUGUGGCAAAUAAAUCAAGAUUUUUAUAGAAAUCCACAGCCUUUAAUACAGAGAUUUUUUAUAAAAUUUGAAACUAAAUUACUCACUUGAUUUUCCUAUGAUGUGCUAGUGUUUUAUUUUACAAAAAAGUCUAAGUAGUAAAUUCAAAAACACCUCGUGCUGAGUCACUAAUCGAGCGCACCCUAAAAGGUUACUGAUUUGGCCAUAUUUAUACUUGUCUUAAAAUAACUACAUUUAUAAAACUUGUUUUUAGGAAAUCAAUGCUAGCAUGCAUGCAAUAUCUAUAUCUAUCAGAUAAAUUGCAAAUAGAGAGUACAAGGAUAAAGGCUGUUGAUUUUCUAUAAAAAUCUGUUUUUUGCCACAAAGUCCUCUUUUUCUAUUAAAUGCAAUGGAACAGUAAAAAUAAUGCUUUGCAAAUUUCCCCUUGAAUAUGUAAAAAUGGCUAUCUCUAUUAUUCAUUAUAUCUGUUUUUGAUAAAAUUGAAGUUUGAAAAGUUCGUACAAAAAUGGCUACAGAAGGGUACAUAAACCUUAAGGUUCAUGUGGACCCUAUGGCUAAAAUGGCCGUAUUUUCACCUCAAAAUUUUCUGAGUACAGACAAAUC